Molecule: long non-coding RNA, 452 nt
Filed under: Callithrix jacchus (white-tufted-ear marmoset)
Lineage: Eukaryota; Metazoa; Chordata; Mammalia; Primates; Cebidae
Description: lncRNA (ENSCJAG00000086500.1)
Source: RNAcentral
GCUCUCUCAUUUCCACAAGCAGAGGAGUCACUCCCUGUGGCCACUACCCUAGACCCACAGCGAGUACUGCCUGGCUGUGACUAUGCCAAUAUUUGCUCAAGGCCCAAAGGCUCUUCAGUCAUCUUGUGGUGACUGCUGUCAGGCCUGAGAUUCUCCUUCUAUUGUUGUGGAUGCCUUUCUGGUUCAAGAUUCUCCCACCAUGUCAUACAGUGGCCUCCAGGGGAUGGAAGAGAGGUGGCACCAUCUGGUCAAGACUGUCUUUUCUCCAGUGCUUUUUUCUGUGACAAGAAAUUCAAAUCAGUUGCCAGAAGAGAUAUUCUACUCAAAUUGUGAGAAAACCAUUUCAGCCAAAGAGAGUCAAGAAAGGAAAUCUCAAGUGGAGAAGUGGAAAAGGCAAGAAGGGAAAGGGAAGAUAAUAUUGAUAACAGCAGUAAUCCUAGAUAAUAAAUCUG